GCCUCCUUAGCUCAGUGGUAGAGCGUUGGUAUUGUACGUCUAUAAGGGAUGAUGAGUAAAACAUACUUAGAAAACCAAAGGCCGAGAGUUCAAUCCUCUCAAGAGGCA
This 108-nucleotide transfer RNA is filed under the name Daphnia pulex (common water flea). It matches the Rfam family "tRNA". From Rfam's summary of the family: Transfer RNA (tRNA) molecules are approximately 80 nucleotides in length. Their secondary structure includes four short double-helical elements and three loops (D, anti-codon, and T loops). Lineage: Eukaryota; Metazoa; Arthropoda; Branchiopoda; Diplostraca; Daphniidae. The record is from Rfam by way of RNAcentral.